AUACGAAGAUCCCAAGCGUUAUUCGGAAUCACUGGGCGUAAAGAGUACGUAGGCGGUUUGGUAAGUCAGGUGUGAAAUCCCGGAGCUCAACUCCGGAACUGCAUCCGAUACUGCCAGACUUGAGUAAUGGAGAGGCAGGUGGAAUUCUCGGUGUAGCAGUGAAAUGCGUGGAUAUCGAGAGGAAGACCAAUGGCGAAGGCAGCCUGCUGGACAUUUACUGACGCUGAGGUACGAAGGCUAGGGGAGCGAACAGGAUUAGAAACCCCAGUAGUCC
RNAcentral lists this ribosomal RNA (274 nucleotides) under uncultured bacterium. RNAcentral's name for it is "partial 16S ribosomal RNA". It matches the Rfam family "Bacterial small subunit ribosomal RNA", at positions 523 to 796 of the family's 1533-position model. The record is from RNAcentral.